RNAcentral lists this ribosomal RNA (1422 nucleotides) under Lactiplantibacillus plantarum. RNAcentral describes it as "bacterial SSU rRNA". It matches the Rfam family "Bacterial small subunit ribosomal RNA". Lineage: Bacteria; Bacillati; Bacillota; Bacilli; Lactobacillales; Lactobacillaceae. The record is from RNAcentral.
UCGAACGAACUCUGGUAUUGAUUGGUGCUUGCAUCAUGAUUUACAUUUGAGUGAGUGGCGAACUGGUGAGUAACACGUGGGAAACCUGCCCAGAAGCGGGGGAUAACACCUGGAAACAGAUGCUAAUACCGCAUAACAACUUGGACCGCAUGGUCCGAGUUUGAAAGAUGGCUUCGGCUAUCACUUUUGGAUGGUCCCGCGGCGUAUUAGCUAGAUGGUGGGGUAACGGCUCACCAUGGCAAUGAUACGUAGCCGACCUGAGAGGGUAAUCGGCCACAUUGGGACUGAGACACGGCCCAAACUCCUACGGGAGGCAGCAGUAGGGAAUCUUCCACAAUGGACGAAAGUCUGAUGGAGCAACGCCGCGUGAGUGAAGAAGGGUUUCGGCUCGUAAAACUCUGUUGUUAAAGAAGAACAUAUCUGAGAGUAACUGUUCAGGUAUUGACGGUAUUUAACCAGAAAGCCACGGCUAACUACGUGCCAGCAGCCGCGGUAAUACGUAGGUGGCAAGCGUUGUCCGGAUUUAUUGGGCGUAAAGCGAGCGCAGGCGGUUUUUUAAGUCUGAUGUGAAAGCCUUCGGCUCAACCGAAGAAGUGCAUCGGAAACUGGGAAACUUGAGUGCAGAAGAGGACAGUGGAACUCCAUGUGUAGCGGUGAAAUGCGUAGAUAUAUGGAAGAACACCAGUGGCGAAGGCGGCUGUCUGGUCUGUAACUGACGCUGAGGCUCGAAAGUAUGGGUAGCAAACAGGAUUAGAUACCCUGGUAGUCCAUACCGUAAACGAUGAAUGCUAAGUGUUGGAGGGUUUCCGCCCUUCAGUGCUGCAGCUAACGCAUUAAGCAUUCCGCCUGGGGAGUACGGCCGCAAGGCUGAAACUCAAAGGAAUUGACGGGGGCCCGCACAAGCGGUGGAGCAUGUGGUUUAAUUCGAAGCUACGCGAAGAACCUUACCAGGUCUUGACAUACUAUGCAAAUCUAAGAGAUUAGACGUUCCCUUCGGGGACAUGGAUACAGGUGGUGCAUGGUUGUCGUCAGCUCGUGUCGUGAGAUGUUGGGUUAAGUCCCGCAACGAGCGCAACCCUUAUUAUCAGUUGCCAGCAUUAAGUUGGGCACUCUGGUGAGACUGCCGGUGACAAACCGGAGGAAGGUGGGGAUGACGUCAAAUCAUCAUGCCCCUUAUGACCUGGGCUACACACGUGCUACAAUGGAUGGUACAACGAGUUGCGAACUCGCGAGAGUAAGCUAAUCUCUUAAAGCCAUUCUCAGUUCGGAUUGUAGGCUGCAACUCGCCUACAUGAAGUCGGAAUCGCUAGUAAUCGCGGAUCAGCAUGCCGCGGUGAAUACGUUCCCGGGCCUUGUACACACCGCCCGUCACACCAUGAGAGUUUGUAACACCCAAAGUCGGUGGGGUAACCUUUUAGGAAC